GGCCGACUAGCUCAGUUGGUUAGAGCGUGGUGCUAAUAACGCCAAGGUCGUCGGUCCGAUCCCGGCGUUGGCCA
This 74-nucleotide transfer RNA is filed under the name Lentinus tigrinus ALCF2SS1-7. RNAcentral describes it as "tRNA-Ile". RNAcentral also lists the same sequence under 1 other name. Lineage: Eukaryota; Fungi; Basidiomycota; Agaricomycetes; Polyporales; Polyporaceae. The record is from RNAcentral.